Molecule: ribosomal RNA, 432 nt
Filed under: uncultured bacterium
Lineage: Bacteria
Description: partial 16S ribosomal RNA
Rfam family: Bacterial small subunit ribosomal RNA
Source: RNAcentral
AACGAACGCUGGCGGCAUGCCUAACACUGCAAGUCGAACGAGACCUUCGGGUCUAGUGGCGCACGGGUGCGUAACGCGUGGGAACCUGCCCUUAGGUUCGGAAUAACUCCCCGAAAGGGGUGCUAAUACCGGAUAAUGUCUUCGGACCAAAGAUUUAUCGCCUUUGGAUGGGCCCGCGUUGGAUUAGCUAGUUGGUAGGGUAAAAGCCUACCAAGGCGACGAUCCAUAGCUGGUCUGAGAGGAUGAUCAGCCACACUGGGACUGAGACACGGCCCAGACUCCUACGGGAGGCAGCAGUGGGGAAUAUUGGACAAUGGGCGAAAGCCUGAUCCAGCAAUGCCGCGUGAGUGAUGAAGGCCUUAGGGUUGUAAAGCUCUUUUACCCGGGAUGAUAAUGACAGUACCGGGAGAAUAAGCUCCGGCUAACUCCGUG